This 3473-nucleotide long non-coding RNA is filed under the name Sus scrofa (pig). Its description in RNAcentral is "lncRNA (ENSSSCG00065048376.1)". The record is from RNAcentral. Lineage: Eukaryota; Metazoa; Chordata; Mammalia; Artiodactyla; Suidae.
AGGCCAAAGAACUUAGAUAUGUCGCUUAAAGCCGGUGAGUUUUCUUCACAACAGUGUCCACUGCCCCUCCUGAGGUCCGUAUCACCUCCCAGGAAGAAUUUAUUUUUCACACUUUGGCAUUUUGUGUAGGAAUCACAAUGUGAGUAAAAAUAUCUCACAGUUUCUGCAGGGUAAGAAUCCAGUGUUGUCUCUGUAGUGGCUCCCGUCGCUGAUGAAGUGUGGGUUCGACCCCUGGCCUGGGAAUGUCUGUACGCCGAGGGUUCGGCCCUGAAAAGACCAAAAGAGAAAAAUCAUCUGCCAAGGGUAUAGACUGAAUAAUUAGGGAUGGAUUUUGAUACUGCUCAUAGCUGUCAACUUACUUAGCUGGGCAAGUCACUGACCAGCGAUGGCUUCAGUCCUGGGAGGCGCUGGCACAGGGGUGUCCCCAGCCACGUGUGGAGAAGAGGCACAGGCGGAAGACUGGGCAGGUGCUAGUCUGGGGCUGGUGGGAGAGUUAUUUCCUGAUCCAGCUUCUGCUGCUUCCAAAGGACUCAGAAUGCGGCAGCCUGGGAGGAAUGAGGCUGGGAGCUGGGGGAGCUGGGGCACCAAAGAGGGGCGGGUUCCCUGCGGACUGGAGAGGCUUCCAAUCUCCCGCCAGCACCUGGGGGCCUCAAACCGCAGAAACUCAAAUUCCCACAGUUCUGAAGGCUGAAGUCCAAGGGCAAGGUGUGGCAGGGCUGCUUUCCUCUGCGGCGUCUCGCCCCCUGUCCUCACAGGUCCCCUCCUCUGCCUGUUAGUGAUAAAUUUCCUCUUCUGAUCAGGACACUGGUCAUAGUGGAUCGGGGCCCACCCUAAUGACCUCAUGUUAACUUACCACUUGAAAUACCCCAUAUCCAAACGCAGUCACAUGCCGAGGAGCUGGGGUUAGAUUUCAACCUGUGAACUUGGGGGGCAUGCAGUUCCGCCCGUAACACCAAUUUUCAAUGGUUUUUCAGAUUCCUUUUUAAUGUGCCCCACAAGAGGGGGAAAACCCCAUUUUGAGCGCAAACACCCAAUGAAUCUACUUAUUUAUAAAUCAUAUUCUCCUGGACUAAUAUAUUUUGCACACUGGAAAGCAUACCCGUACAUAGACAAUUUAACGGGCAGACAAGAUGGAAAUAGAUGUUCUGUUUUGGGUCCCCUGGGACGGAGACCCCCUGGUCCUCAAAGGGGGACCAUUGCCUUUGGGGGGACCGAGUCUGGAUCUCCAGAUUGACACACUUAUUCCUUAGCUUUGAACACCUUCUGUAAGAUCCCAGCCACGGCUCCCGUCACCCUCUCUCUCUCGAAGGAAACGUGCCCUCCCUCCGGACCCGUCUCGUGUCAGUGUGUAGUUACCUCAGCAAUGGAAUUGCCUCCAGUUCCAAGUCCCAAGGGCACGCAUCCAUCCCCCCGCAGGCUCACCACCCCUGUGUUCCAUUCGCCCCCCCCCCCCAACCGUUUUCUAUUUGAUUGAGUUUACAUUCUUCCCGGCUCCUCACCGAGGCUGUGAACGCCCAGGGGGACAGGUUCGUCUUCGACUCUGUUUUCCUCGUGCCCAGCGUGGUGCUGGGGAGCAGCAGGGGCUUCCCAGAUUGCUGACGUCCUGGCUUUUCUACUUCAUCACAAGGCAAAACAGAAAAUUAACAACUCACUAUCGCUUUAGAGGUUAAAAAUUCAAGCCUUGCAAUUAAGCCAAAGAUAGAUAUGACUAUCUAUCACAAUAAAAAAUGAAUAGCCCUCUGAAUUGCCCUUGUAGAGAGGCCUCUGGGAGUAAAAAGACAUACAGGUCAAUACGUUUGACCGCUGUUGGUGUUCCCAGUGUGCAGGGCUCAGGGCUGCAGGCAAGGUGGUAUCCAGCCGCAACCUCAGCUCAGAGCUGCUGCAGGUGAAUUGACCUGUAAUGUUGCCUGAACUGUCAGCAGAAAAGCAAAGACAAGAUGUGAAAGUUAUCCUAAGGGGGAGGUCCAAGGACCAUGGCGAAGAGGCUGCCACAGUCCUGCCCACGGAGGAGAGGAAAAGCCUUGUUAGCGAGUGUCUGUUACGUGCCAGACACUGCUUAGCUUUCCCUGCCUGAGCUCCUUCAAUCCUCCAACACCACCAAGUAGGAAACAUCCGUGCUUCGCAGAUGCUGUUACUUCGAGACGUGAGGUAGUCGUCCCAGUAUCACAGAGCUAGGAGGGAGUGGAGGAGCCGGAUUUGAACCCGGGGCUGUCUGACGGGGGGAGACGGUGGCUUCAUCUAUCAUCCUGCUGGGACCGGUGGAUCCCAGGCGCUUCCCCAUCUUCCAGCAUCUUUCCUUGACUCUCUCACCUCUUCUAGGCAGUGCCUCUGCCCUAUUCCCCGGUGGCGCUCUCUUCUGAUCAAGGCGGGCUGGCUGGACAAAGGCGGUAAUUACUGACCGAGGACCAGCCCCCCUCUCUGGCGAUCGACGUCCAUUCAGACUCGGGUCUCGAGGGGACCGUGUCGGACCCAGGAUGGAGAGAGAACCAAGGGCGGGCAGGCCUGUAGGACCUUGCCAGAUCAUGUCAGGCUGGCAGCCGUCUCUCCUGGGCCGUAUGGAGGCAUGGUGGGUUUUGUGUGGCUUUUGUCUGGGUUUAGUCCCAACCUCAGUGGGAGACGAACGAUGGGCUAUUAGACACCCUUACCUUAGGCUAUGAUGGACAGAACACCAACACGCCUAAGAACAGACUCUAUCUGUUGCUUAAUUAGAAGGAGGAGGCGUGAGUUCUGCUUUAAAGAAGAGCCUCUCAGAGUUCCCCUUGUGGCUCAUGGAACCCGACUAGUAUCCAUGAGGACGCAGGUUCGAUCCCUGGCCUCGCUCAGUGGGUUAAGGAUCCGCUGUUGCUGCGAGUGGUAGUGUAGGUCGAAGAUGUGGCUUGGAUUCAGCAUUGCUGUGGUUGUGGUGUAGGCAGGCAGCUGCAGCCCCCAUUCAACCCCUAGCCUGGGAGCUUCCUACAUCACAGGUGUAGCCAUAAGAAAAAAAGAGAGCGAGAGAAGAGUCUUUCUCGUGGUGCUGGCCUUCCCUUCCUGGGUCACCUGGGAUUUGAGGUCGGUUGUGCUCUUGAGUAUGUUCUUAGUGAACUUAGUUCACUGGCCGGAGACUUUCCCUUGAGGUUUCUUUGCCAAUGGACCCGGCUUCUAGGGCCGAGUGGCUGGUGGGGCUUUGUGGGCUAAGGGAGAGCUCCCGGUAGGCCUCAUCAAAACUGCACACCUUGUCACCAGAGGGGGCUCUGGGCAUUUUGACACUGUCUGAAACCUGCCCUCUAGUCUUUCCAAGUCAAGGGGACAUCAUCUCUCCACUCUUUGGAGCCCCAUUCACCCUUGAAAAAACGGAUCAAAUUUUCAACUUGACAAUAAGUGCCAGGCAAAUGCCUUCAUGGGUGCAGAACCCCCGCCCCCGCAGGCUCAGUGAUGGACAGUGGGGGACACAGACUCUAAAACCGAAAAACAUCCCAAGAAAUAGCAACAACAAC